AUUGAACGCUGGCGGCAGGCCUAACACAUGCAAGUCGAACGAGUGGCGGACGGGUGAGUAAUGUCUGGGAAACUGCCCGAUGGAGGGGGAUAACUACUGGAAACGGUAGCUAAUACCGCAUACCAUCGGAUGUGCCCAGAUGGGAUUAGCUAGUAGGUGGGGUAAUGGCGCACCAAGGCGACGAUACCUAGCUGGUUUGAGCGGAUGACCGGCCACACGGGGACCGAGACACGGUCCAGACUCCUACGGGAGGCAGCAGUGGGGAAUUUUGCACAAUGGGCGAAAGCCUGAUGCAGCCAUGCCGCGUGGAUGAAGAAGGCCUUCGGGUUGUAAAGUACUUUCAGCGGGGAGGCGUUACUCGCAGAAGAAGCACCGGCUAACUCCGUGCCAGCAGCCGCGGUAAUUC
Molecule: ribosomal RNA, 406 nt
Filed under: uncultured bacterium
Lineage: Bacteria
Description: partial 16S ribosomal RNA
Rfam family: Bacterial small subunit ribosomal RNA
Source: RNAcentral